RNAcentral lists this long non-coding RNA (401 nucleotides) under Malus domestica (apple). RNAcentral describes it as "long non-coding RNA (MDOM_LNC012061)". Lineage: Eukaryota; Viridiplantae; Streptophyta; Magnoliopsida; Rosales; Rosaceae. The record is from RNAcentral.
CUAUGUACCAUAUAUUGGGUUUCCACAACUGGGCCUCAUGAAGAAUACUUGGGGGACUUAGCCCAUUAUUUAUGUAUUGAGGAGCAAGCCCUUAUUCUAUAAAAGGGAUUCCCUCACUUUCAUUAGAGAGCACCCAUUAUUCAUGUACUGAGAAGCGAGCCCUUAUUCUAUAAAAUGGACUCCCUCACUUUCAUUAAAGAGCACCAAUUAUUCAUGUACUGAGGAACGAUCCCUUAUUUUAUAAAAGGGACUCAUUCACCUUCAUUAGAGAGCAUCGCCGCCUACUGAGCAACCACCUUGCCGCGAGCAUCACUCCUAACCCAUCACUUAUGUAUUGAGGAGUGAGCCCUUAUUCUAUAAAAGGGACUCCCUCACCAUCAUUAGAGAGCAUCGCUGCCUAC